RNAcentral lists this microRNA (21 nucleotides) under Anolis carolinensis (green anole). RNAcentral's name for it is "aca-miR-199b-5p". Its record names the gene aca-miR-199b-5p. The record is from miRBase by way of RNAcentral. Lineage: Eukaryota; Metazoa; Chordata; Lepidosauria; Squamata; Anolidae.
CCCAGUGUUCGGACUACCUGU